GAUGAACGCUGGCGGCGUGCCUAACACAUGCAAGUCGAACGAAAACACGAGGAGCUUUCCUUCUUGGCUUACGAGGGGGGGGGGGGUGUGAAAUGUGGAUAACACUGCUUUAUGGAUGGGGUUAACUCGUGAAAACGGUGCCAAAUACCGCAUAUCUAUUCAACACCAAGGUGCGAUAGCUACAGACGGUUUUCCUUUGACUUAUCGCAGAAUCCGCGCGGCAUUUGGUAGUUGGUGAGGUAACGGCUUACCAAGGCCACGAUGCGUAGCCGACCUGAGAGGGUGAUCAGCCACACUGGAACUGAGACACGGUCCAGACUCCUACGGGAGGCAGCAGUAGGGAAUCUUGCGCAAUGGGCGAAAGCCUGACGGAGCAACGCCGCGUGUAUGAUGAAGGUCUUCGGAUUGUAAAGCUCUUUUAGUAGGGAAGAACAAAGGUAUGAGUAACUAUUCGCUUAUUGACGGUACCCGAACAGAAAGCCACGGCUAACUACGUG
Molecule: ribosomal RNA, 497 nt
Filed under: uncultured bacterium
Lineage: Bacteria
Description: partial 16S ribosomal RNA
Rfam family: Bacterial small subunit ribosomal RNA
Source: RNAcentral